Molecule: ribosomal RNA, 492 nt
Filed under: uncultured bacterium
Lineage: Bacteria
Description: partial 16S ribosomal RNA
Rfam family: Bacterial small subunit ribosomal RNA
Source: RNAcentral
AGUGAACGCUGGCGGUAUGCCUAACACAUGCAAGUCGAACGGCAGCACCGUAAGAGCUUGCUCUUACGGGUGGCGAGUCGCGGACGGGUCAGGUAUACAUCGUACUCUACUUUUUCGUGGGGGCUUACGUAGGUGAAUUUACUCUAAUACCGCAUACGACCUACGGUGUGAGGUAGGGGAGCUUUUGCCCUUUGGCAUUAGAUCGAGCCGAUUCCGGAUUAGCUAGUUGGCGGGGUAAAGCCCCACCACGGCGACGAUCCGUAGUGGGUGUGAGUGGAUGAUCAGCCACACUGGAACGGAGACACGGUCCAGACUCCUACGGGAGGGAGCAGACGGGAAUAUUGGACAAUGGGCGGAAGCCUGAUCCAGCCAUACCGAGUGGGUGACGGAGGCCUUCGGGGUGUAAAGCCGGCUUGCUGGGAGAGAAAAGCAGCAGGUUAAGACCACGCUGUUCUGACGGUACCCAAAGAAGAAGCACCGGCUAACUUCGUG